This 272-nucleotide long non-coding RNA is filed under the name Elaeis guineensis (African oil palm). Its description in RNAcentral is "long non-coding RNA (EGUI_LNC061347)". Lineage: Eukaryota; Viridiplantae; Streptophyta; Magnoliopsida; Arecales; Arecaceae. The record is from RNAcentral.
AGGCUGCUGGGUGUAGUCAAGUACUUGACUUGUCGGUGCGUGUCUCAAGAUGGGAUUGACCACUCCAGUUUAGGAGCUGUGUACAGUCGUGUUUCAAUUUAGCAAAACCUUGACCAGGGUAGUCUUUGUGAGGAGUCACAGAACUGUUUGAGUUGAGCAUAAUUCGGAUGAUCUAAUCAGGGUUGACAGUUUAAUCCUGAGUCAUCCUAAACACAAAGGUCAAAAGGAUGAAUUAUACAGUAACCAUAUUCACGUAGGUUCUGAGUGUUGCG